RNAcentral lists this unclassified non-coding RNA (426 nucleotides) under Hevea brasiliensis (rubber tree). Lineage: Eukaryota; Viridiplantae; Streptophyta; Magnoliopsida; Malpighiales; Euphorbiaceae. The record is from RNAcentral.
UAAAAGUUACUUGGGAUGGCAUGAACAGGGAGACGGUAGUUUGUUUUGUGGUCUACAUGUUGACAAUGGUCGUGUAAAAGGAGAGAUGAAGAAGGCACUCAGGGAAGUUAUUGAGAAGUAUAAUCUGAAUGUGCGUCUCACACCCAACCAAAAUAUUAUCUUGAGCAAUAUUCGGCAAUCUUGGAAGCGCUCCAUCACCACAGUCCUUGCACAGGGUGGUUUGCUGCAACCUAGGUUUGUCGAUCCUCUCAAUCUAACAGCAAUGGCGUGCCCAGCUUUUCCACUUUGUCCUCUAGCAAUCACUGAAGCUGAGCGUGGAAUACCUGACAUCCUCAAGCGUGUUAGAGCUAUGUUUGACAAGGUUGGUCUGAGGUUCUAUGAAUCCGUUGUUAUAAGGGUAACAGGUUGUCCCAAUGGAUGUGCUCG